UUGAGGUUUGAUUCCCUUGCUCAGGACGAACGCUGGCGGCGUGCUUAACACAUGCAAGUCGAACGAUGAAGCCCUUCGGGGGUGGAUUAGUGGCGAACGGGUGAGUAACACGUGGGCAAUCUGCCCUGCACUCUGGGACAAGCCCUGGAAACGGGGUCUAAUACCGGAUAUGACCGUCUUGGGCAUCCUUGACGGUGUAAAGCUCCGGCGGUGCAGGAUGAGCCCGCGGCCUAUCAGCUUGUUGGUGAGGUAAUGGCUCACCAAGGCGACGACGGGUAGCCGGCCUGAGAGGGCGACCGGCCACACUGGGACUGAGACACGGCCCAGACUCCUACGGGAGGCAGCAGUGGGGAAUAUUGCACAAUGGGCGAAAGCCUGAUGCAGCGACGCCGCGUGAGGGAUGACGGCCUUCGGGUUGUAAACCUCUUUCAGCAGGGAAGAAGCGAAAGUGACGGUACCUGCAGAAGAAGCGCCGGCUAACUACGUGCCAGCAGCCGCGGUAAUACGUAGGGCGCAAGCGUUGUCCGGAAUUAUUGGGCGUAAAGAGCUCGUAGGCGGCUUGUCACGUCGGUUGUGAAAGCCCGGGGCUUAACCCCGGGUCUGCAGUCGAUACGGGCAGGCUAGAGUUCGGUAGGGGAGAUCGGAAUUCCUGGUGUAGCGGUGAAAUGCGCAGAUAUCAGGAGGAACACCGGUGGCGAAGGCGGAUCUCUGGGCCGAUACUGACGCUGAGGAGCGAAAGCGUGGGGAGCGAACAGGAUUAGAUACCCUGGUAGUCCACGCCGUAAACGGUGGGCACUAGGUGUGGGCAACAUUCCACGUUGUCCGUGCCGCAGCUAACGCAUUAAGGCCCCGCAUGGAGAUCGCCACG
Molecule: ribosomal RNA, 868 nt
Filed under: Streptomyces purpurascens
Lineage: Bacteria; Bacillati; Actinomycetota; Actinomycetes; Kitasatosporales; Streptomycetaceae
Description: bacterial SSU rRNA
Rfam family: Bacterial small subunit ribosomal RNA
Source: RNAcentral